UUUAUUUUUUUCCACCCUUGAUGC
This 24-nucleotide non-coding RNA is filed under the name Gossypium hirsutum (cotton). Lineage: Eukaryota; Viridiplantae; Streptophyta; Magnoliopsida; Malvales; Malvaceae. The record is from RNAcentral.